CUCUUUUCCUCCUUCACGGAUCUGUGCCCAGCGAUCCUCUGCCGCUUCGGUGGUCAGGGUCGAUUGCUGCGGCAGUUCGGUGAGCCAAGGAGCCAUCUACUCUUCAUGAUGUCAAUUUCCACCCGACAGAUCCCAGAUCGAUCGAACUUCGAGGUAGUCUCGUUCGCUGUAAAAGGUUUGAGCGAGGUGAGCCGGAGUUCAAGACGCUAUAUUCCAAGCCGUUCGCUGAGACCGUCGGUCUAUGAGGCUGGGGAAAACCAUGGCACGUCCUACAUUU
RNAcentral lists this small RNA (277 nucleotides) under Chaetomium globosum CBS 148.51. RNAcentral describes it as "A. fumigatus sRNA Afu_309". It matches the Rfam family "A. fumigatus sRNA Afu_309". Lineage: Eukaryota; Fungi; Ascomycota; Sordariomycetes; Sordariales; Chaetomiaceae. The record is from Rfam by way of RNAcentral.